AGAAAGAAAAAAGAUGGAGAGCAACAGCAUCAUAGUCUUCGUCAAGCACUCCCCAUGCUGAGCGUCUCUGCUUCCGCCUCGCGAGCUCCCUCACCAUGGCCUCUUCCUCUUUUCACUUCUCCGCAACUGAAUUGGAUUUUUCUAUCCCUAGAAAAUGUAGGGACUUACAAUUUUAUCUAUAUUUGUGGGUUUAACUUAUAUUAUAUAAAGUAGAUGGACUGGAAAUGAAUUCAUUAGGGGCCAAUUCAUAAUAUCUCUCAACUCUAAGGGUGGGGUGUGGCUUCCACGACUUCCUGCACAACCGCGAAAAGUUAUCUUUAUGGAAUACUCUGGUUGUGUUUGAUUUUGGAGAAAGCUCUCGAGUUUCAUUCUAUGGCAUGCUCCAGUAAAUGCUCAACUUCUUUUUAUGGAAUGGAUGAGUUGAGAAUGGCUAAUCAGUAUGAAUAGCUUGCCGUUGCCGGCUGGGGUUGCGCAUCUCCAAGAGAUUGAGAAUGGUUGAUAUCCAGAUUUUUGAUUGCAUCUCAUCUUCGAAUACCAGCUUUAUAAUACCGUUCUUAGUCUUCAGACACAGCAAAGAGUUCCCCUGGUGCUCCGUCCUCUCCUCACUAAUGUUGGUGA
Sesamum indicum (sesame) is the source of this 618-nucleotide non-coding RNA. NCBI's taxonomy places the organism in Eukaryota, Viridiplantae, Streptophyta, Magnoliopsida, Lamiales, Pedaliaceae. The record is from RefSeq and is a predicted model, not a curated record.